UGCUCGCCCUUUUUGCUGCUGCGAUGGCGUCCAGUGCAGUGUCGGUCCCGGAGUGGCGUCUGCAAGGUUGCACGGCCAUGGGCGAGCCCUGGGCUAAGUGGCCCAUCGCUCGAAGGAGACUUGAAAUAAGCCGCAGGACGACGAGGUGCAUUUGAAAGAAAGAAUAUAGCCGCCAAGACAUCCUGCGUGUGGGAGCAUGAGCCCUGGUUGACGCGUGCCCAGCCCGGGAUCCGGAGGCAGAACCCGGUCCUGGCCGAGAGGCUCAGGGAGAGGCCUGGGGAGCCGGACAUCUGCAACACACCUCGGACUGCCCCAGAUUCACCUGAAGUCACACUUAACAGGCUUUUCGACCCCGACUACCAUGGACUAGGAAUUGUGGCAGGGGAGAGGUAAAAGGGCAAUUUGUUAGGAUAGCUCUCCAUUGCCACUGUAGAUCUCUUGAAAUUGAUUUUCCUGCAACUCAGACCCUCCUCGGCUGGCAGGUUUAUGUUGACUGCUUUCCAGAAGCAGAACUGUGACUUGUAAGAUUCUGAAAUAUGUGUGGCAGUGUCAGGUAACUGAUUGCCAGGUUGCCAUCCAAAUUUCAGAUGGUGUUUUGUAUUCAUUAAAACCACAGCGUUAUGGUUUAGCAUUUAGUUUGGUGAGCAAUGGUGUGGCAUCCUCUUGAAAAAGUACCUGCUCUGCUUCUGA
Molecule: long non-coding RNA, 690 nt
Organism: Ornithorhynchus anatinus (platypus)
Lineage: Eukaryota; Metazoa; Chordata; Mammalia; Monotremata; Ornithorhynchidae
Exons: 5
Source: RefSeq, a predicted model, not a curated record